AAGCGCCUUACUUACUCUUCUCUCUCUCUCUCUCUCUGAUCAAGGUCUCCAAACUUCCAUUGAGUGAAGCCAUAUUCUUUCAACUCCACCUCAGAAGGAAGAUGAAAUAUGGCUCCAUGAUUUCGGUGGUUGCCUUGUUCAGAAGCUUCUCAGUCACGUUCGUGCAAGGAAAUUUUAGGAAUUCACUCAUCUUUUCUGGGCCACAUCGAGCAUUUAGUUGCUCAGGUGGGCCAUACAUGGCUUGGGUCUAGACUGAGCUUGUUCCUCGAGGCCCAGACCAAGCCGAAGCCCAAUUGGAGACCACGCAUCAUGGCUUCGAAUUUGUCACAACUCAUCCUCAACAUGCAUGUGGUUGCCCUGGCCUUUUAGCUGCCCUCUCACUGUAGCCAUGUUCAUGAGAAAACUAAUAAGUUAAUUAUCAUGUUUUAGCUGAAAUUCAAGAUUAUGAUUCGUUCACAUCAUGAGAAAAUUUGUUAGCUUCAUUGGUUUAUUUUAUUUUAUUUUAAUUUAUUUUAUUUUAUUUUAGGCCAUAGUUGAUAGUUCAGUGUAUGGCAAUAAAUCAAAAUGCUUAUGUCUUUGCCCCCAAGAAAAAAAAGAGCCAUGGAAACCUGCAUACAUGGGACCAAUAGGACAGUAGAAGGAAUAAUGGGCAAGAGAGGGCAGUGAAAUCCAGAGUAGAGAAGAGUUGAAGCAGCAGAACCAUGUUUUAGGGAUAGGGCCUUAUCUUUAUUAUCCAACACCCAUACUGUCUGUUUCAUGUCCACCAUCCAAUUCCCACCAAGAAACACAUGCAGUGCCCACCUCGGCAGCUACCUUUCACAAUCCAUUAAUUGUCUGAACCUCCCCCGCACCCCACCCCGUCUUCUCAUCUCCAAACACGUGUUACUCCUCCCACAUUUUCUAGAUGCAGGAGAGGCCUUUUAUCAACUUCCAUCAUAAAUAUUCUGGCCCCUGUCUCUUGUAUAAGUUUACACCUUCCAUUAAACAAUAAUCGUAUAUAUCUUCAUAUAUAAGCUCCCUCACUCUCAAUAAUAUUCCAAUUUUUAGUAUAAAUACUAUUCCAGAUUCAUAACUAAGAAAGAAAACAGAAGAACAAAGCCUAGAAUACUUGAAUAUUAGACACCCAAAAGGACAAAAGAGCAAGGUCGUGGAGAACAGUGACUGCAUGCAGGUGUGCGUGAUGAGAGGGAGGAUUAGGGGACGUGAGGGGGGAGAUAUUGAUCAAGUUUUGGUAUAUAUAUUGAUGAGGGAUUGGAGGAGAAUGAAAGAAAUUUUAUCUCCAACGUCCAAACCUAAUCUGCAAGGGUAGAAGCUGUGGUUUACUGGGCUUUCACUUUCAUUAUCCGGUCACAGGUGAUAUAAAGCUACUCAACUCCAUAGUCUGGUGCAGACCCAAUGUCAACUGCUACGAUAAACAGUUGGUGUCUCACCUCUCUCUCCCAAGCCCAAUCCCCACAAAACAAAGCUACAUUACGCCCUUCCAUAUCCGCCCGCCUUAACUCUCCUGCUUCUCCUGCUCCACCCAACCUCAUCCAAAACAAGCCCGUAUUUGCUGCUCCUGCUCCUAUCAUCACUCCCACUUGGGUACCGUUCUCUCUCUCCCUUUUUCCUAUGUUUUCUUUUUUUUUAAAAAAAAAGUAAAAAAAAAAUUAACAGCUCUGUCCAUUUGCUGUCUAUGGUUUUGAAUUGUGAUAAUGAUGAUGCUAAAGACAAGUUGGGUUUGAUACAAUGAAGCUAAGGUCUUAGUCCUGAUAAUGUGGACAGUGAAGCAAGAAUAGUGUGAGAGAGAAGGUGGAGAGUAGUGUAGAAACUCAUGAAAUUUGACAUGCAUCUCGUGGUAGUGUUUCUGUUUCUUUUGUUUUCAUUGUUCUUUUUCCUUUUUCUUCUUGAAUAGGGUAAAGUUGAGAAGAAGCAUGAGAAGAGGGGAUUUUAACUUAAAAGCCAUAGCAAAUAUGAAACCCAUGAUGGAAGGGCAAACCCAAAAAAGAAAGGAAAAGAACACUUUCUUUGAAUUGUUUAUUGCCAUACGACCAUGCUGUUUCAGUGGGUUGAAGCUUGAAAUAGAUAAUAAAUUUAUGUUUUUUUCUGAAAGAAACAGGACCAGAUGGUCUAAAACUCAACGAUUUAUCAGAUUUUUUUCUCUCUCUCUUCUUGGUGUCCUAAUCAUUCUAUUUAUUGAGGAAAGUCAUGGUGCCAAGUGUAAGGUGUAGAGUUGUUUUUGUAACAUCCAAAUUGUGCUAGUCCACGUAGCAAGAAAGCCAGAAAGAAGGUUAAACAAACAAAUUAAAUGUGGGCGUAAAGGGGCCCAUUCUUAGGAGGAAUCUGAGGAGAAGAUUCUUCAGAGGAUAGUCCACUUAUAUGCAAUUUUGUUGCUCUGCAUUUGAACACUUCUGCAAGACCCUAUUCCAAUUUCUCAGAUUCAGGUGUGAAAAUCUCAGCUCAUUAAUCUCUUCUUCAGUUUCUUUUUUGCAAAUUUCUCUCACAAUAAUCAGGAAUUCCGGACAAAAUCUCAGUUAGAACUGAAUCAUUCUAUUUAGCUACUUAUUUUCUUCAGAGGAUUCUCUUUAGACUUUUGGUAUAUACUAUAUAGUUUACAACCAUCCCCAUCCCUUUCUAUGUACAAGUGCUAAUUAAUAGGCAAUGGAAAGUGGGGUUUGUUUAUGGUUGAUUAAUAUUUGGUGGGGUGUAAUCCUUUUGUGGGAAUUUGCAGAGAGAAGAUAUGGGAAACGGCUCCUACGACGAGGCUGUGGAAGGUCUCAGGAAGCUUCUCCGGUACACACUCGAUCUCAUCCAUACAGUUGUUUUGCAAUUUGUCCCUGGUCACUGCUCUUCACUCAUCUCCAAAUAUUCUUCGUGUCACUGAUAAAAGAAAACCCAGUCCCUUUGUCUUCUCUUCUAUGCUUUUGUCUACCCCAGCAACGAUCAUUUUCAUGCAAAUUCUCAAAUUUUGUACAAAAUAGAUAGUUAUGAGAAAAUCUAUACCAAUUAAACUAACUAGUUUUGGUGAUUUGGGUUGCAGUGAGAAGGCAAACCUGGAACCUGUAGCAGCUGCAAAAAUUGACCAGAUAACAGCCCAAUUGAAAUCUAGUGAUGGUUCAUCAUCACCAUUUGAUCCAGUUGAGAGGAUGAAAACAGGCUUCAUUUAUUUUAAAAAAGAGAAAUAUGAGUAUGAAAUUUCUUUUCUAUCUUACCUUUUUCAGCGACAUAAUCCUCUAUCAAUUGGUUUAUACUUUCUAGUAUUCAUUUAUUAAUUUUCUUUUGCAGUAAGAACCCAGCUUUGCACGCUGAGCUCGCCAAAGGCCAGAGCCCCAAGGUACUCAAGUGUUCAUUUAUUUUUAAGUGAAUAGGCUAUGGAUGUCAUGAGGGUGCAUAUUACUUUGAAUGAGACUAUCCCACUUACUUAGGAGCUGUUUGCUAAUGUUUAACAAAAUUAUGUUUGAAAACUCGAUAUUAAAAACAGUUUUCUCAACCUAUUAUUUGUGAAGAUAGUUUUCAAACAGACCCUUAAUUUCUACAUUUACGCGUUUCAGGAUGAGUAGAAAAAUUUACAAAAUGACAGUUGACUAGUUAAUUAACUACAAAUUUAUGUUGCAGUUCAUGGUGUUCGCAUGCUCGGACUCUCGGGUUUGCCCAUCACAUGUGCUGGACUUCCAACCAGGGGAUGCUUUUGUGGUCCGGAACGUUGCCAACAUGGUCCCAGCAUAUGAUAAGGUUCCCCAUAAUGGGCUAAUGUUUGAACCAAUACUUAAAAAUUUACAUUUUUCUAGCUAGUAUGCUCAACUGAUUUGCAGUACUAACGUUUGUUGUGUUUUAUUCUUCCUACAAUAGAUCAGGUACUCUGGAGUUGGGUCUGCCGUUGAAUAUGCAGUUUUGCAUCUGAAGGUGAAGCCCAUUCACCCUUUUCUUUCUAUGUAUUUCAAUACUUACUAGAACAUCAAUAGGUAACAAAAUUGAUGAAUUGUUAUGCAACAUAGCUAUCAAAAUGUUGCUCAGUAAUGGGGUAGUGUCUUUGUUGAAUUCAAAUUAAAAGUGCUGAUUUUCCACAGGUGGAGCACAUAGUGGUCAUUGGUCACAGCAGCUGUGGUGGAAUCAAGGGGCUCAUGUCAUUUCCCUUUGAUGGAACAAGCUCUACGUAAGGCCUUAUCAUCACACAACUCAAUUACUUUUUCAAUGCUAAUUUGAAGUAUCAUAGUAGAUUAGAGAGGCUAAGCAAUUUUAUGUCACCCAAUGCUUGAUCUCAUAUGGUAAUAGCCGAGAGAAUGAGCUGAAUAUGGGGAUGGGACUUCUUCUAGCUCUGUUUAAUUCAACACUUGGGUAUGGUAAAUUUGGUCAUUGACAUAGAAUUGCCUGCAGUUUUGGCACCAUCUGGAAACAUGGACCAUGAAAUUGACCAAAAAUAUUAGUAAUGCCCAUAUGCUUUUAGCUAAGAGGAAAAUGUUAUGUUUUACACCUAGCUCUCUUCUUUACUACACAUGUUUGAUCAUCUUCUUAUGUAGCUGGCAUUUUUCAUGAAAAAUGCAAAGAUUUAAAGACUAAUUAAGCACUUAAUGGGACUUAAAAGGAGUAAGAAGUGAAUAAUAUUGAUGUUCUAAUAAUUAUUUCCUGUUUUCUUGAUUGAGAAAUGCAGUGACUUCAUAGAAGACUGGGUGAAAAUCGGUUUGCCUGCCAAGUCCAAGGUGGUAGCAGAGUGUGGUGAUCUGCCUUUCCCAGAACAAUGUGCAUAUUGUGAAAAGGUAAAGCCCUCGGCUUCCUCAGCUUAAUUGUCAAUGAAAAUGAGACUCAGCACUGAUGCUGAACUCUUUAGCCUAUAGAAGUUAUAGGUCAAAUUCCACAAUAGGAUUAGGACUUCCUCCAUGGAAUUGUUUCAAAGGAAAGUCCCAGACUGAGUCCUGUACGUAGAUUUUUGUGGAGGAUGCCCUGAAAAAGCAUUAUUCCAUCUCUUAGGAAUGUUUCCAUGAACGAUUUAAAAGAGAAUAAUGCUGUGAUUCUAACCAUCUAUUUGUAAAAUGUGAUGCAGGAGGCAGUGAAUGUCUCACUUGGAAACCUGCUAAGUUAUCCAUUUGUGAGAGAAGGCUUGGUGAAGAAAACUCUAACAUUGAAGGGUGGUUACUAUGAUUUUGUUAAAGGGACUUUUGAGCUGUGGGGGCUUGACUUUGGCCUUUCUCCAUCUUUCUCCGUAUGAACACCAUCCAUUAUCAGUGACCCCGUCUUUGUUCUUUUCCUUCCUUUCUGAGAAGUGUGUAUGUUGUAUUUGCCUACGAUGAUAAUAAAUAUAACCGAGAUCAUCUGUGGAUCCUUUAAUUAUAAGCAAAAUACAUCUAAUCAACUUUUUUCACUACUGCAUUUUCCUCUUUUUCUUUGCUAGGUA
This 5368-nucleotide long non-coding RNA is filed under the name Vitis vinifera (wine grape). RNAcentral describes it as "long non-coding RNA (VVIN_LNC004856)". Lineage: Eukaryota; Viridiplantae; Streptophyta; Magnoliopsida; Vitales; Vitaceae. The record is from RNAcentral.